This 62-nucleotide transfer RNA is filed under the name Cavia porcellus (domestic guinea pig). It matches the Rfam family "tRNA". Rfam says of the family: Transfer RNA (tRNA) molecules are approximately 80 nucleotides in length. Their secondary structure includes four short double-helical elements and three loops (D, anti-codon, and T loops). The record is from Rfam by way of RNAcentral. Lineage: Eukaryota; Metazoa; Chordata; Mammalia; Rodentia; Caviidae.
GGGGAUUUAGCUCAGCUGCAUAAGCACCUGCUUUACAAGCAGGUGGUUAAGUUCAAUCCCCG